ACGCUCGACACCUACGAGAGGCAGCAGUGGGGAAUAUUGCACAAUGGGGGAAACCCUGAUGCAGCGACGCCGCGUGAGUGAAGAAGUAUUUCGGUAUGUAAAGCUCUAUCAGCAGGGAAGAAGAUGACGGUACCUGAGUAAGAAGCCCCGGCUAACUACGUGUCAGCAGCCGCGGUAAUCUGAGCGGGCUGGCAAGGC
Molecule: ribosomal RNA, 198 nt
Filed under: uncultured bacterium
Lineage: Bacteria
Description: partial 16S ribosomal RNA
Rfam family: Bacterial small subunit ribosomal RNA
Source: RNAcentral